This 58-nucleotide small RNA is filed under the name Helianthus annuus (common sunflower). Lineage: Eukaryota; Viridiplantae; Streptophyta; Magnoliopsida; Asterales; Asteraceae. The record is from RNAcentral.
CACUGGUCGAGAGCUGUUGCCGCUCUCCUGACGAGUCUAAGAUAGGAUGAAACUAGUG